This 444-nucleotide ribosomal RNA is filed under the name Meristogenys orphnocnemis (Sabah Borneo frog). RNAcentral's name for it is "partial 12S rRNA". It matches the Rfam family "Bacterial small subunit ribosomal RNA", at positions 794 to 1449 of the family's 1533-position model. The record is from RNAcentral. Lineage: Eukaryota; Metazoa; Chordata; Amphibia; Anura; Ranidae.
GCCUAGACGUAAACAAUUUAUUUACAUACUUUAACGCCCGGGUAUUACGAGCAUUGCUUAAAACCCAAAGGACUUGACGGUGUCUCACCCACCUAGAGGAGCCUGUUCUAUAAUCGAUAACCCCCGCUUUACCUAACCAUUCUUUGCCUAAUCAGUCUGUAUACCUCCGUCGGAAGCUUACCAUAUGAACGCCCAUAGUAAGCCCAAUGGUCACCCACCAACACGUCAGGUCAAGGUGCAACUUAUAGGAUGGAAAGAAAUGGGCUACAAUUUCUAAAUUAGAACAAACGAAAGGCUGUCUGAAACCCCCAGUCAUGAAGGAGGAUCUAGUAGUAAAAGGAGAAUAGAGAGCUCCUUUUAACCUGGCACUGAGACGCGUACACACCGCCCGUCACCCUCUUCAAUAGUUAUUCGUCUAGAUUAUUAACAAAUUAACCACGCCUU